This 327-nucleotide ribosomal RNA is filed under the name uncultured eukaryote. Its description in RNAcentral is "partial 18S ribosomal RNA". It matches the Rfam family "Eukaryotic small subunit ribosomal RNA", at positions 1470 to 1796 of the family's 1831-position model. The record is from RNAcentral.
CCCUUAGAUGUUCUGGGCCGCACACGCGCUACACUGGAGGAGGCAGCGUGUACUCCUGGAUCGAAAGAUUUGGGUAACCCGCGAAUCUCCUUCGUGCUAGGGAUUGAGGUUUGCAAUUAUCCUUCAUGAACGAGGAAUUCCCAGUAAGUGCAAGUCAUAAGCUUGCGCUGACUACGUCCCUGCCCUUUGUACACACCGCCCGUCGCUACUACCGAUUGAAUGAUUUAGUGAGGACUUCGGACUGGGACCGAUGCGGCUUUCGGGCUGCGUCGGUAUUCUGGAAAGAUGUCCAAACUGUAUCAUUUAGAGGAAGUAAAAGUCGUANCA